AGAUGGCGACCGGCGCACGAGUGAGUAACACGUAUCCAACCUGCCGAUAACUCGGGGAUAGCCUUUCGAAAGAAAGAUUAAUACCCGAUGGUAUAAUCAGACCGCAUGGUUUGAUUAUUAAAGAAUUUCGGUUAUCGAUGGGGAUGCGUUCCAUUAGGCAGUUGGUGAGGUAACGGCUCACCAAACCUUCGAUGGGUAGGGGUUCUGAGAGGAAGGUCCCCCACAUUGGAACUGAGACACGGUCCAA
RNAcentral lists this ribosomal RNA (247 nucleotides) under uncultured bacterium. RNAcentral describes it as "partial 16S ribosomal RNA". It matches the Rfam family "Bacterial small subunit ribosomal RNA", at positions 86 to 334 of the family's 1533-position model. The record is from RNAcentral.